GACGAACGCUGGCGGCGUGCUUAACACAUGCAAGUCGAACGAAGUGGCGGACGGGUGAGUAACGCGUAAUCAACCUGCCCUUCAGAGGGGGACAACAGUUGGAAACGACUGCUAAUACCGCAUACUGAAGGAGGGGAUUGCGUCUGAUUGGCUAGUUGGAGGGGUAACGGCCCACCAAGGCGAUGAUCAGUAGCCGGGCUGGGAGGAUGGACGGCCAAAUUGGGACUGGGAAACGGCCCAGACUCCUACGGGAGGCAGCAGUGGGGAAUCUUCCGAAAUGGAGGAAAGUCUGACGGAGCAACGCCGCGUGAGUGAUGAUGGCCUUCGGGUUGUAAAGCUCUGUUAAUCGGGACGCGGUACCGGAAUAGAAAGCCACGGCUAACUACGUGCCAGCAGCCGCGGUAAUUC
This 408-nucleotide ribosomal RNA is filed under the name uncultured bacterium. Its description in RNAcentral is "partial 16S ribosomal RNA". It matches the Rfam family "Bacterial small subunit ribosomal RNA", at positions 28 to 526 of the family's 1533-position model. The record is from RNAcentral.